ACCCCACCCUUCGAACCGAAACGCAUUACUGCUUCACGGCGGAAAUAGGCGGGGUGGUGGUACCUACCCGUGUAGACUCCCAAGAGGUCCUACCACCAGCUUUGGGAUAGUAGUGUCCAGAUGUUUCGUGGAAGAAAUAGGCAGGUUCCUGGUAUCACACCAUAUCCGCCAAAUUGUGUAAUAAUAAAGAUUUUUAUUUCAAGAAUAAAGUAGAACAAAAUUGUACAUAAUUUAAAUGGAUCAAAAAUGAAAAAAAGAUAGCAAUCGAAAUCAUUAACAUUUUGUUUUUUAAUAAUGCUUUCAAAAUAUUAUAUCAGAGUAAUAAACUUAUUGUAUUCUUAGCGGUCUUUGAUACGUAUGGAAAUUUCUUAUUAUGAAUUUAUUUAGGCUUAAAUUAUACAUAGAGCUAGAGUGUAUCACUUAAAAAAAGCCACAUACUAAGUGUAAUUGUAACUAUACUGAGACUUUAGAACUUAUAUCUUAAGAUUGGCACAUUUACGUUGUAGAUGUCUAUGGGCUCCAGUAACCACUUAAUACUAAGUGAGCUGUGAGCUCGUCUACCCAUCUAAGCAAUAAAAAAAAAGUUUUUUGAACAUACCUCAAUACCUAAUCGCAUUGACCGUCUGACCUUUUUGUUUUGAAAACCGGAAUUGUUUGUUUUAAAAAGGCUUAGGAUAAUGAAGGCGUCGUCCCAACGACAAAACCCGAAAUCAGCUUUCCAACCUCGUCGUUUCGAAGACUAUAAACUUCGCGAUGAAGUCAGGAAACUCGGAUGUAAUUUUAGAUAUCACAUUUUUUACUUUCGUCCGCACUCAAAUAUUUUAUAACUUAUUUGAGGCGUUUAAUUCAUUUAGCUUGGAUCGUUAUUGAGUUUGGAAAAUGAGUUUUCCAAUCAGCUACUUGGACGUGUUUUAAGUGCUUUUCAUCGUGGUAACGAAAGAAAAUAUUGUUUUAGUGUACUCAUGUUUCACUAUAAUAAUACAACUGUUAUGAUUAAAUACUGUGAAUUGGUAUGAAAAUAAGUGUUUUGAGGUUUGAACGCACACAAAACGACAUUUGAAUUUGUGAGGUGACGUCGACUGUAUGAUUUGGUGUCGGGUUCGGCCAUUAUCAGAAAUCGUCGCCUCUUCAAGUUCCUCGGAAACAACCGGCUAGUAGUACUCAACGGAGAAGUCAUUAUUGUAUGGAUUCGCAGAUGGCUAAUUGCCGCUCUUAUUUACAAUCACAUUGUCAAACAUUAGAUCGUUAUCUAUAAAGUUAAAGCUAUUUUUGUAUACAUAUUUUUUUAUUUCUAACAAUAAAAAUAUGCGCCCAUGGAUCAUGCAUCUCUGUCUGAGCCAUGGUGUCUUUCAAAGCCCUUCUUGAAGAAAUCAGGUGUACGGAAGCAAACAAACUCUCCAAAGGUUUGUUCACCGCCUUUCGGGUAUUAAUUUUUUUCGUGUCAAGAAUUUGUCUGAACUGUGGAAAAAGUAGAAGUCUAUCGGUGUAAGGCCAAAGUUUCAACGCUGCCUCUCGUUGUUUAGAGUUUUAGGAACCAUCUGUCAUGCUGCGAGCGUUGUUGUUUAGGACUAUCGCAGCUGGAACGAGCGAUUAACCCAGGUUGGCUAAAGAUUCGCAAGCCUCUCCAUCAUUAUGUCCAGUUCUUCACGGUGCACAUCUACAGUAAUUCUAGUGCUAUUUGGUAAGCAAUGAUGAAUUAUACCCGCAAAAUUAUAAUUUGCGUAAUUACUAGUGGUAGGAUUUCUUGUGAGUCCACGCGGGUAGGUACCACCACCCUGCCUAUUUCUGCCGUGAAGCAGUAAUGCGUUUCGGUUUGAAGGGAGGGGCAGCCGUUGUAACUAUACUUGAGACCUAAGGUCUUAUAUUAUAACUAUAAAUAUAACUUAUAUCUCAAAGUGGGUGGCGCAUUUACGUUGUAGAUGUCUAUGGGGUCCAGUAACUACUUAACACCAGGUGGGCUGUGAGCUCAUCCACACAUCUAAGCAAUAAAAAAAAAUUAAAAAAAAUACCGGCACUAGACCACCAAAAUUAAAUAGUGACUAUAACUUUUUAGGGGUAUUUUUCGUUUGGCACAUGCCUAGGUCCUAAUUCAGGGCUCAAGCAACAUUAUGCCCUCUUAAAAUUAUCAAAAAUAAUCCAUUUUUCAUCACAAGUGACAAUGCUAUUAAAAUCCCUUCGUUUAUGUGUCUAUUAAGCAACGCGAGGCAUACUUUAACGCGAUCCUCGCGCUGGCGCUCACUCAGUUCGUGUGACACCUACUUAUCAAGUUUUUCUUUUACCUUGAUGACCAAUUUGACGCAAAUGGACCAAUAUUAAUAUGAUGCUAUGAAAGCUCCUACUAGGUCAGCGAUACAUUGAGUAUCGUCACCAUUCACUAUCAUUUUUAAUUCAUCGUUGUUGACUUUAGUGUGAUGCCGACCAUGGGGCUCAUUUAAAAAAAAACCGUAUCGAAAGCCUUCAAAUUAAUAACAAGUCAUUCUUUCGUUCAUAUUGGGCACUGGGUUACAUAGCAUUCAUGUUGUGAGCCGCUUAUGAAUUGCUGCAGCGACAAAAUUCGUGUUUCCUUAAUUACUUUUAUUUUUAUCGUGUCUAUACCGACGAAAAACACAAAUGUAGUGAAAACUAAACACUAAUCAAUAAAUAAAUUUUAAAAUAGUUUCAUUCUUUUUUAAAUAAAACUCAUAUGAAUCUUAGAAUUCAUUGCCAGUCAUACAUACAUACGUUACGUUUCAAAUGACCAGUAUUGUGAACCGACAACUUCAUUAGCAACGCCUUAUCACGUGGAAUGAAGUAUACUCAACGGUGGGUUAGUUUAUUAAUUAGUUUACUAUCCUCUGAACUUCAAAAGCUACUCAUUAAUGGUUAUACUAAAAAAAAUAUCUAAUUAAUCAUAAAUUAUGCUGCCUCGUUUAAUUACCCUCAAUAAAAUUCAUUAAAAAUGAAGCACUAUGCAGUAAUUCGGGUAGAUUUAUUAAGCCACAAAAUACAUAAAUAGACUGCGGUUACGUGAUUAUGUCUGGUUUUGGCUUAAUGGAAAUUUUCAAUAUGCCGAGGCGGCCCGAAAAUUAAUUAGCGAACAAGUAAAUUAAUCCUUUCUAUAAAAUUAUUAUUUUGGCACUUGAAACGAAUCCACAAGCUUAAAGCUUAGGUUGACAGUUCGACGUAGGUUGUGAAAGCUAUUUCAAUUCUAUCUGUAAUAUCUGAAACCAUUACAAUACUAAUGCAUAUGAAUAUUAAGGGAUAAGAAAGCACUGAGAGGGAUAUAGUGAUCACCAAGAAUUUAUGACAUAGUUUUAUGUAGAUAAAAACUACACAACGAUUAAAAUCUCUUUUUUUAUAUCAUAGUUAUUGUAUUAAAAAGGGGAUAGUUCGGUUGUAAAAAUACCACUUAUAUAAAAUCAUACAGGCAUACAUAGAUCACGCUUAAUAAUUCGCCCACGAAAGGGAUUUUAGCGAAUAAUCCAAUAGUACCAAAAAAAAAAAACAAUAGCAUCGGUGAAGGAGCACUACAGACUGCCACCGCACUCAUUUCUCUCGCAACCACCUUACGCGUAACACCUGUGUACCUGUAUAUCGUCACAGCCGUUAUUUUAAAAUAUAAUUUAGAAGGAAAAAAAAAGCAUUCAUUUCCUUUGUACACCACCACUGCUUGCCUCCUCUUCCUCGCCAACACAAACCGAGAAACUCAUUUUAAAAUCUUAUGAUUAGAAAAAAUUGUUUCCUGGAGUUUAGUCCUUGAUAUUUCUUCUCUAGCUUGGUUAUGCUAAGCAUACUAUCAAUGAGCUGUCGAACUAGAUUAUUACAAUAAAUUUGACUUUAGGUAUCCUAAAAUAUGGUCAAAUUUCAUUUCAAAACCUAACUUUCGGUAUAAUUUAAGUCCUUCUUCAAACGAGGCUUGUGGAGAGUAUUAAGCGGUAGGCAGCGGCUUGGCUCUGCCCCUGGCAUUGCUGAAGUCCAUGGGCGACGGUAACCACUCACCAUCAGGUGGGCCGUAUGCUCGUCUGCCUACAAGGGCAAUAAAAAAAAAAAAAGUGCAAAACAAAACUUUCGAUAUUGACAUCGUCACUAAACUUAGCUGAAACUUGGGUGUUUCACAGCUUCUACUCAAAAACUUGUAGCAAAGGAUGACGUCAAAAGUUCAAAAGCUCAGUAAACUCUAUGCAAGUAGCUUUCGAAAACUCUAUCUAACUAUAAGCCAGUAUAUUAAGUAAAAUAUUUUGUCCAUUUAUUUUUUUGGAGAAAUCGUAAUUCAAAGAGCAGUGCAUUCUAGAAAAUUUAUUACUGUAAUUUACAAAGUUAUUCGAAUAUUAUUUGCGCACACUGUCACACCUUUUACAGUACAAGCCAGUAUUUUUCUGUGGUUUUAUCAUAACCAAAAAUAUUGUUUGAAAGUGUAGGCUUAGUUAAUAUCAAAUAAAUAUUCAAAAUUAAGAGCUCUCUUCUAGUCUUAUGAAAAAACGCAAAAUCAUGGAAUAUAGAAUUGGUCAUCGAUAGUAUAUAUUGAUUAUCGUUUGCUACAAAUUACAACAAUAACUAAUUUAUGUUGCUAGUAAAUUAUUAUUGCCGAAAUCAUAGCAUCAACCAUUCAAACAAAAUAUUUCUAGCAAUUGUUAAAAUUAAAGAAAGUUCGCUUACAAAAGUAUAAACAGUGUGUAGAUUUGUUAAUUAGUAAUUUAACAAAAUAUAUUAAUUAAGUCCUUACAUAUGAAAUUGGCGUUUUAUACGGGAGGAAAAUAAAGUUUUUUUUUUGUAGAAUAUGUUUAAUUAAUCAAAAUAUGCUCCGUUGUUAUUUAUACACUUUUGCCAUCUCAUAGGUAGUUCAUUGAUCUCUUUACUAAAAAAACUACGGGGGCGAGAAUCCAUAAAUAAAAAAAUUAUGAGGAAAGAACAAAUUAAUAACUGUUUUCAAAACUAGAAUGUAUCAGGUAAAUGAAUUUAUAAAUUUUAAUUUGAAAUUCUUAACCAAAGAGGAGAUAUUCCAGAUCAAAGUGGUCAGUACGACAAAACGCUAAUUUCAUAUGUAAGGACCAUAGAUCUAUAUAGGUAAGAAUUCCUACUUCAGUGGUAAGGACCUAAUAUUAAUGUCAUCGUGACGUUUCUAAUCGAAUUUAAAGAAAUUGUUGUAGCACGAAAUCAUGCGACGUUUUUUUAACAUAAACAAAGUUUUGAAAACGUCAACAUUGCUCAAUUAGUCGUUAAUCUUGUUUGAAAAUCCUCUCAUGGUAGAGCGGAGACCGUGCUCAUAUGAAUAGAGAACGGAUUAAAGUAAGCUCUGUGAUUUACUGUGCUCUAUGCUUUGGAACAGGAUAUGAAAGUGCACUUCUAAUUAUGUUUUUCAGACAGAAUACGAAAAUUCUUGAAAAAAAAGCUUCGGCUGCGUUCAUAUGAUGUUUUUCCUCAAAGCUUGCUUAUAAAUUUUAAGACUAAUUAAGUGUACCUCUCUUAAAUCGUUUAGGUAAUCGAAGUAUGUAAAGUUUAAAAUUAUAAUAAAAAAACGUGCUUCGUGUAAACAAUAAAUUGAAAAUAAAAUGUACUCUUAAUUUUUUCAUAUUCUUUCAAUUAACUAUCGCGUCGAACAUUUAAAUAUGUAGUUAUAGAUGAGUAAGCAAUUACACCUAUCAAGCCACCCUUGAACUAGGACGUGUAGGCUAAGAGGGUACGUUCCGAAGGCGGCUUUUACUUAGCACAAAACAGACAUAUCUCAGUCUUUGUCUAUAGGCCUAUAACCUCCACUUCGGCUACUUGAGGGACGAUAAAGAGAGAUUACUAGGUCAUAUCAAACAACUUCUUUUAGUUUACCCCAUGAAAUACACAGUUUAUUUCCCAAAAAAACACUCUGUGAUUAUUUACACAAUACAAAAAUACGCAAAUUAUGAACCUUAUAUAAGUGUAUAUCAAUCACCUUUGACCCUUGAAUAGAUAUGGUUUGAUGAUUAAGCUUGUUUCUUUUUCUAAACCGUCACAAAAAGGGGUCACGUUUAAGCGCAUUUGUUUAAAGCUUAAUUAAUCCUCUCAACAAACGGAUUAAAAAGCCAGCGGUCACGUGAUGACUGUACUGUUUUUGUACUGUAUGUAAAUUGUAGAGUAUGAUAGAAAUAGAGCAGAAAUCAUAGAUAGAUUAAAUAAUUAAUAAUUAAAUAAGUCUUAAGAUAAAAUAAUGUGUGUCCUGUAUCUAAGUGCUUUGAUUAUUUGAAACUAUGUUAGUAAAAUUAUAUAAAUUAUAAUUAUAGUUUAAAAUACUCUAAAUUGUUUAUUAUUCUGGAACGCUAUCCAUUGCGUAAAAAAACACUCGCGGUUCAGCUAUGGCUCGCUGAUGUCCACGAGCAUUAUUAAAUACACAACAUCAGAUGUGGAGCGUAUUUGUCUAUGAAAAAUCGGUAAGCUGAUUCUGACCCAGCGGGGUGUCAUGGAAGACCAGCGGUGAAGAUCGAGAGACGCAAGGGAAGCUCAGCCUACCCAAAAAAAAAAAAAAAGUUUUUGACUUAAUAAACAUAAACUAACUCUGAAAGGUUUCUUAUUUAUCUGUCCCAUCUCUAAAGCAUGCAAGAUUUAAUUAAAAACCGUUUUUAACGCGCAACAACCAUCGGCUUGGAGCAUAAAUAAUUACAUAUUACCGCGUACACAGACUCAGAGACCAUUGAAACCCCAUUAACUACGCUCUUAUUCAUUUCCAUUCAACGAAGGUAGCUAUUUUCCCAUGUAAUAUCUCUUUAUAUACCCGUUGACAGGUCGAGAGGCUAGUGAAAGCGUGUCUGUAAACAUUUUUGAGGUCACCCAAAGGUGUUUGCGUGUUAGCCCAGUUCCGACUUUCGACCUUAUGUUAAUAAACGUUGUAAACUUCUUAAAUUAUGUUCUUUUUUAUCUAUUGCUUAGAUGUGUGGACGAGCUCACAGCCCACUUGGUGUUUAGUGGUUACUGGAGCUCAUAGACAUCUACAAACCUAAAUGCGCCACACACCUUGAGAUAUAAGUUCUAAGGUCUCGGUAUAGUUACAACGGCUGCCCCGCCCUUCAAACCGAAACGCAUUACUGCUUCACGGCACAAAUAGGCAGGGUGGUGGUACCUACCCGCGCGGACUCACAAGAGGUCCUACCACCAGUUCGUAGUUUAGAUAGUAUUAAGUUGCGCGUUCGAGGGUAGUUUUUUAAAAUUUCAUUGCGAAUCUGAUUAGCAAAUAGCCCACUCACUAUCUUGAUGAUAACCUUGUCUAUUACUGCUUAGUUGGUGCUGAUCUGAAGGACAAGAACUCCGCUACUGUAAAGGCACUGAAAGAAUAACUUAACGUCAGCAAUAUGAGUGCGUGUUACGAGCAACGACGUCGACCGUGACGUCAUCAUUCACUCACCUACAGCAUUAAGAUCUUCAUUAAGGCAUUAAUUAAUUAAUUAAUUCACUUAAAUAAAAUUUUAGACGUAUUUGUUAUCUCGUCUUGAAAAUAAAUCCUUGACAUCACAUGUAUCAUAAUAAUAUAUUGUCAAUAGUAAAUUUACUUAGUGUAUAUUGUUAGCGUGCCAUUUUGUCAUGUUGUCACUAGUUAAAACUGAGCAUCUAUAUAUUAAUACGUGAAGCAAAAACUUUGUAUCCCUUUUUCUUCGGAUUCCUUUUUACGAAAAUUGCGCGGACGAAGGAGUAUGAAAUUUCCCACACGUAUAGAAAAUAUAGAGAAGUAGUGCAGAAUGUUAAAAUUGUUUUUAAUUAUGCAUUAAUGAUACAUUAAAUCAAUAAAAAAAACAUUACGCACACUAACAACUAUUUGACAAAUACACGCAUAAGUUUAUUGUCAAACUUUUAUUAUUGUUUAUAGUCUGUGGUCAAAUUGAGAAUAGAUUAAUAUUGUUUGUCUUUAAUAUUAAUUGUCUAUAGUGUGGUCUUGGCGGAAUAUGUGAUUAUAGAAGUUUAAUUAAUAGUCUUUUACAAUAGAGCCAUAGUAAUGUACAAACUUAUAUUUUCAAUUAAUUACAGUUGAAUGUCGGCUACUGCGGGGCCACUAGUUAUAUUAAAUAUGCGAAUAUCGAUACAGUUGCAUACAUCGCACGAUACAAUUUCAUCGGGUAUCUUUGACGCCACAACGACUUCAAUCUGCGCGUAUGAUGAUUUUAUUUAAUGAGUAGUAGGUACAUAAUUGAGUUAGUUGUGAGCUCAUACGUGUGUAUUAAUGCCUAACGUGAACUCAUAAUACACGAACAAAUCAACAUGCAAAACAAACGUGCCAAUAUAAAACUGUUUACCAUAUUUAUUUAUUUAUUUAUUAAGUUACACCAACAAAAUGAUCAUCAAUACAAAACAUUGAACAAUUGACAAAAGUUCAUGGCAGAUGUCACCUCAAUUAUAGGUGCAAUCGACAGAGCAUUAACAUAAAAAAAAAAUAUACAGCUAAGAUUUACCAUAUCAAUGUAUUACUCAUUAAUUAUUCGAAUUCAGGUAUAGAACAGCGAAUCCAUUUCUUUUCUGAUUCGACUAUUCGUAUAGUAUUAGUAAGCUAAGAUAGACAGUGAACUUAGCGCUUGCCAUUGACACUAUAAUGUUUACUAGAGAUCCCGCAGUAGUCGAAAUUCGACUAUAAUUAAUUGGAAUUGUAAGUUUGUACACUAUUAUGAUUGUAUUUUAUACUUCUAUAAUCACAAAUUUCGCCAAGACUACACUAUUACAAAUAUUAACAAAGGCAAACAAUAUUUAAUCUAUUCUCAAUUUGACAACAGACGUCAAGAACAAAAGUUUGACAAUAAAUAGUAUGCUUGCGUGUGUGCGUCAAAUACAUGUCUCAUCGUGAUGGACAUUGACAUUUUUUAAGGUUGAAGCCACGGAUGCCACUUACUGUUGAAUUAAAUUACCAAACGGACCUGAAUUAUAAACUAUGAUUUCAUUUGCCUAUUCACACUCCAUUUUCAUUUACAACGGGAUCUGUUGGUUUAGCUGUAGUGAAAGAACAUGAUUGUUAAGAUAAGAUAAGAUAAGAAAGGGUCGUCUUACCCCCUUACGGGGGCACAGAACGGGCCUCGGGGUGAACCCACUACCCGGGCAGAAGCUCCCUGUCAUGAAAGGCAGGGGUGAACUGAUGCAGGGGGAAUCGAGGGGGGAAGAGCUAUUUGCAGCGUGUCCGGCUGCAUUGUACAUUGAAAUACCGGCUUUAAUCGAAAUAGACUUUCUGGGAAUGAAGGAAAAUCACAAAAGGGAAUACUGAAAAGUUCAGAAUCAUUUCUUAACAAAAAGUAGAUUUUAUAUUGUUUUGCUUUUCGGAGCCUACACGAAAUUUUCUAUUCUUAAUAAAUAAAAAUACAAAAAAAAUAA
Molecule: long non-coding RNA, 9288 nt
Organism: Bombyx mori (domestic silkworm)
Lineage: Eukaryota; Metazoa; Arthropoda; Insecta; Lepidoptera; Bombycidae
Exons: 3
Source: RefSeq, a predicted model, not a curated record